Molecule: microRNA precursor, 126 nt
Filed under: Microtus ochrogaster (prairie vole)
Lineage: Eukaryota; Metazoa; Chordata; Mammalia; Rodentia; Cricetidae
Description: miRNA (ENSMOCG00000006308.1)
Source: RNAcentral
GGUUUCUCUCUGUAGCCCUGGCUGUCCUGGAACUCACUCUGUAGACCAGGCUGGUCUUGAACUCAGAGAUCCACCUGCCUCUACCUCCUGAGUGCUGGGAUUAAAGGCGUGCGCCACCAACGCCCG